Molecule: small RNA, 812 nt
Filed under: uncultured Rhizoglomus
Lineage: Eukaryota; Fungi; Glomeromycota; Glomeromycetes; Glomerales; Glomeraceae
Description: SSU rRNA
Rfam family: Eukaryotic small subunit ribosomal RNA
Source: RNAcentral
AUCAACUUUCGAUGGUAGGAUAGAGGCCUACCAUGGUGGUAACGGGUAACGGGGUGUUAGGGCACGACACCGGAGAGGGAGCCUGAGAAACGGCUACCACAUCCAAGGAUGGCAGCAGGCGCGCAAAUUACCCAAUCCCGACACGGGGAGGUAGUGACAAUAAAUAACAAUACGGGAUUCUUUCGGAUUUCGUAAUUGGAAUGAGUACAGUUUAAACCUCUUAACGAGGAACAAUUGGAGGGCAAGUCUGGUGCCAGCAGCCGCGGUAAUUCCAGCUCCAAUAGCGUAUAUUAAAGUUGUUGCAGUUAAAAAGUUCGUAGUUGAAUUUCGGGUUAGUAGGCUGGUUAUAUGGAACUCGCGCUCUGCAGGUUUAUGUAACUGGUCUUACUAAUUCCUCCUUCCUGAUGAACUGUAGUGCCAUUAAUUUGGUGUUGCAGGGAAUCUGGACUGUUACUUUGAAAAAAUUAGAGUGUUUAAAGCAGGCUAACGCUUGAAUACAUUAGCAUGGAAUAAUGAAAUAGGACGUUCGAUCCUAUUGUUGGUUUCUAGGAUUGACGUAAUGAUUAAUAGGGAUAGUUGGGGGCAUUAGUAUUCAAUUGUCAGAGGUGAAAUUCUUGGAUUUAUUGAAGACUAACUACUGCGAAAGCAUUUGCCAAGGAUGUUUUCAUUAAUCAAGAACGAAAGUUACGGGAUCGAAGACGAUCAGAUACCGUCGUAGUCUUAACCAUAAACUAUGCCGACUAGGGAUCGGAUGAUGUUAAUUUUUUAAUGACUCAUUCGGCGCCUUACGGGAAACCAAAGUGUUUGGGUUC